UUAACACAUGCAAGUCGAACGAUGAAGCCCUUCGGGGUGGAUUAGUGGCGAACGGGUGAGUAACACGUGGGCAAUCUGCCCUGCACUCUGGGACAAGCCCUGGAAACGGGGUCUAAUACCGGAUAUGACCGUCUUGGGCAUCCUUGACGGUGUAAAGCUCCGGCGGUGCAGGAUGAGCCCGCGGCCUAUCAGCUUGUUGGUGAGGUAAUGGCUCACCAAGGCGACGACGGGUAGCCGGCCUGAGAGGGCGACCGGCCACACUGGGACUGAGACACGGCCCAGACUCCUACGGGAGGCAGCAGUGGGGAAUAUUGCACAAUGGGCGAAAGCCUGAUGCAGCGACGCCGCGUGAGGGAUGACGGCCUUCGGGUUGUAAACCUCUUUCAGCAGGGAAGAAGCGAGAGUGACGGUACCUGCAGAAGAAGCGCCGGCUAACUACGUGCCAGCAGCCGCGGUAAUACGUAGGGCGCAAGCGUUGUCCGGAAUUAUUGGGCGUAAAGAGCUCGUAGGCGGCUUGUCACGUCGGUUGUGAAAGCCCGGGGCUUAACCCCGGGUCUGCAGUCGAUACGGGCAGGCUAGAGUUCGGUAGGGGAGAUCGGAAUUCCUGGUGUAGCGGUGAAAUGCGCAGAUAUCAGGAGGAACACCGGUGGCGAAGGCGGAUCUCUGGGCCGAUACUGACGCUGAGGAGCGAAAGCGUGGGGAGCGAACAGGAUUAGAUACCCUGGUAGUCCACGCCGUAAACGGUGGGCACUAGGUG
This 757-nucleotide ribosomal RNA is filed under the name Streptomyces sp. RNAcentral's name for it is "bacterial SSU rRNA". It matches the Rfam family "Bacterial small subunit ribosomal RNA", at positions 48 to 822 of the family's 1533-position model. The record is from RNAcentral. Lineage: Bacteria; Bacillati; Actinomycetota; Actinomycetes; Kitasatosporales; Streptomycetaceae.